AGAGUUUGAUCAUGGCUCAGGACGAACGCUGGCGGCGUGCCUAAUACAUGCAAGUUGAACGAUGAUUUCUGGUACUUGUAUCAGAAUGAAGAGUAGCGAACGGGUGAGUAACGCGUGGGUAACCUACCUCUUAGCGGGGGACAACCAUUGGAAACGAUAGCUAAUACCGCAUAACAAUAUUAAACACAUGUUUAAUAUUUGAAAGUACCAAUUGGUACACUAGGAGAUGGACCCGCGUUGUAUUAGCUAGUUGGUAGUGUAAUGGACUACCAAGGCGAUGAUACAUAGCCGACCUGAGAGGGUGAUCGGCCACAUUGGGACUGAGACACGGCCCAAACUCCUACGGGAGGCAGCAGUAGGGAAUCUUCGGCAAUGGACGAAAGUCUGACCGAGCAACGCCGCGUGAGUGAAGAAGGUUUUCGGAUCGUAAAACUCUGUUGUUAGAGAAGAACGUUGUGUAGAGUGGAAAAUUACACAAGUGACGGUAUCUAACCAGAAAGGGACGGCUAACUACGUGCCAGCAGCCGCGGUAAUACGUAGGUCCCGAGCGUUGUCCGGAUUUAUUGGGCGUAAAGCGAGCGCAGGUGGUUUAAUAAGUCUGAUGUAAAAGGCAGUGGCUCAACCAUUGUGUGCAUUGGAAACUGUUAGACUUGAGUGCAGUAGAGGAGAGUGGAAUUCCAUGUGUAGCGGUGAAAUGCGUAGAUAUAUGGAGGAACACCGGUGGCGAAAGCGGCUCUCUGGACUGUAACUGACACUGAGGCUCGAAAGCGUGGGUAGCAAACAGGAUUAGAUACCCUGGUAGUCCACGCCGUAAACGAUGAGUGCUAGUUGUUUGGGGCUAUCCAGCCCUAAGUGACGCAGC
Molecule: ribosomal RNA, 862 nt
Filed under: uncultured bacterium
Lineage: Bacteria
Description: bacterial SSU rRNA
Rfam family: Bacterial small subunit ribosomal RNA
Source: RNAcentral